RNAcentral lists this long non-coding RNA (4440 nucleotides) under Aotus nancymaae (Ma's night monkey). Its description in RNAcentral is "lncRNA (ENSANAG00000038976.1)". Lineage: Eukaryota; Metazoa; Chordata; Mammalia; Primates; Aotidae. The record is from RNAcentral.
AUGCUCUGCGGGUGGCCGAAAUCUGGACGGAUGAGCACAAAUAUAUGGUCUACUUGGCCUGGAACAUACCUCUCCAGAAUGGCACUCCGGGAAAAGCUGAAGUGUCAAACUUUUGACUGGUACCUGAAAAAUGUUUACCCACUCUUGAAGCCAAUACACACCAUCAUAGGCUAUGGAACAAUGAAAAACCUAUUGGAUGAAAAUGUCUGCCUGGAUCAGGGAGCCAUUUCAGGCAACACCCUCAUCGUGUAUAACUGCCAUGGAUUCAGUUCACAGUACGUCUACUAUCACCUAACUGGGGAGUUCUACGUGGGACAACUGAUUGCAGAGGCCAGUGAUAGUGAUUGCUGCCUGACAGACCCUGGCAAGACAGGAGAAGCCCACCUUAGAACCAUGCUCCGAGGCAGCUACGAAUGGACUGCACAUAUCUUGGGAUUUUAAACAGGUGAGUUACAUGGAUUUUUUUCUUUCUUUUUUUUUUUUUUGAGAUGGAGUCUCAAUUUGUAGCCCAGGCUGGAGUGCAGUGGCUCACUGCAACCUCUGCCUCCUGGGUCCUGGUUCAAGCAAUUCUCCUGCCUCAGCCUGCCGAGUAGCUGGGAUUACAAGCACAUGGCACCAUGUGUUUGUAUGUUUAGUAGCGACUGGGUUUCACCAUGUUGGCCAGGCUGAUCUUGAACUCCUGACCUCGUGAUCCCCCUGCCUCGGCCUCCCAAAGUGCUGCGAUUACAGGCAUGAGUCCAGCAAGUUACGUUUUUUAAAGGACAGAUACAUGAGAGUUUCAGAUUUGAUUUGAUAGUGUUUUAGGAGAAUUACUUCUUGUGGCAACAUGUAGGGAAAAGAUUGGAAACAGGAAACUGGGUAUGAAACACUGAGUCUCUUGACUAAGGCCGGGGUGGUUAAGGAGAAGAAAUAUUGGAAUCUGUUGUAGUGGAACAGUUGAGAGUUUGGGCCCACGUCCUAGCUCAGUCACCUAGCAAGUUCCUUACCCUCUCUGAAGCUCAGUUUCCUCAUUAUAAAAUGAUGGAGAUAAUAUCUUCUGUAGGCCAGUGUUGAGAGGAUUAAAUGAUAUCGCGUGUGUAAAGUAUUUAGUGUGCUGCCUGGAGCAGAGGAGUGUUCAAUAUGCAUUAGCAUUAGCCAUUGCGAUCCACUUAUUAUUAAUAAUUAUCAGAGGGUGGGAACACUAGGCUGAAAUCUGACAGGGGCUAAUGUGGGAGCUCUGCCUUUAACUUCAACAUCAAAUGACCAAAGACAGGGUGGAAGGAAUCUGGCAGAUGUACAUGAUGGUGACGCAAGGGUCUUGGCCGACUGCAGUCUAUGGGGAAUUGACAAUGGAUGGGGUUGCUCCAAAAGCUUCUGCACUCUUAGGCCAAUUCCGUAGGAAGGGGCAGUACCUCCUGGAGGGAGCUACUGGUCUGUCUGUGACCGUGUCUCUGAAUGCGGGACUGUGCUUUGUUCAAGUGCCAUAUGGGCAAUCUAGUUCAGCAGUCUCUAACUUCUCAAAGCUAACGCCCCCUUUGAGAAUUCGCUGUGAGCUAUGGACUCUCUCUCCAGGAAAACCUACAUGUGAACCUAUGUGCAAGAUUUGCUUACAGUUUCAGAGUUUUUUUUGUUUUUUUUUUUUUGCAUCCCAGAUUAAGCUUUCCUGAACUAGACAAUAUUGAUUAGAAGAAGGGGGGUAAUGUCUUCUCAGUCUCUGAUGUCUCACUUUAAGCUCCAAUUAUAUGGAACUAUAGGUAAUUCAGUGAAAGUCAAGGCUCCCUCUUAUCUUAGACCUUUCUGCAGGUAUUAUUCCCUCUCCUCCCACUUCUUCACCAGGCCAACUACAAAGUGCUCCCCUGGCCUUAGACAUCAUCUCCCUUGGGAAGCCUUCUGUGACCCUAGAGGAGUCGGGCAGGUGGUUCCUCUAUGUGCUCUCAGGGGCCCUUUUAUAGCCCUAGUCUCACCAUCUCUUGCAAUUGUCAGCUCACUUGCUUCUUUUCAUCAUUUGGCUGUGAGCUAGAGGGCAGGGCCUGGGGUUUUCUUUUUUUUUUUUUUUCUAGCAUCUGGAACAACCCCUAGAACAUGGCAGGCACUCGACAAAUGGUUGCAGAGCAAAUGAAAGAUUGGCAGGCCUGGAGAUAUAGCUUGAAAGGCUUGUUAGGCCUGUGGAUAGAGAAAAGAUGAUGCUGUCUUCCUGAGGAAGAGGGAGUAGAUUAGUUUAGUGUCUCAGGAGGGCAGAACUGAGACCAACAGAUAAAGAUUAAGGUGGCAGAUUUUGACUUAUGUAGGAGCAAGGGGAGAGCUUACUAAAGGCCUCACAGCUUCAGGUUUCCUACAGAUGAAUAGGCUGCUUAGCAUGGUGGUGAGUUCCUCAUCAAUGGCAGUCACCAAGCACAGCAUGUCUGAGCACCUGGCAGGCCUCAUGUGCUAAAUAUGAGUUUUUGAUGUCCUUAGUCAUACUUUUUUGUUCAUGUGAAAAAAACUACUACAAAUUUACUUUGUUUUAAAAAAUUAGUAGUCAAUAAUUUUUUGUAAAGUUAUAAAUUCAAAAUUUAUGUUAUAAAUAAAAAUUAUAAGUUAUAAAUUUAAAAAUUCAGUGAGAUGUUUGUAAAGCAUUUAGCAUGGUACUCGGUGCAAAGGAGUGUUGCAAGAAUCAUGGUUUUUCUUUAAGGUUUUAAGUUCAGCUUACAAAUCUUAUUAUUUUAUCUAUAAGCCUGACAACUUUUGACAAGAAAGAGGAUUUUUAAAAUUUAAUAAAUUAAAUGCCAUUAUUUAAUCCAUUAAAUUUCUUUUCUUAAGAACUUCAGUGAUCUGACUUUAAGUUGAUCAAUUCUUAAGUUCUCUUAAAUGUUUUGGAAGUGUUUAUAAAGUCAGUAAAAAAUAUCACCAUCAAGUCACCAAUUUAAUUACUCAAUGACACAUUUUAAAAUUGCUAUUUCAAGAUUAAUCUGUAAGAUGCAAGUACUUAGAAAUAGUAAAUAUACACAGAAUCUUUGGCAAGUACUAUGUGUUUGAUUCCCUUAAUAUCUUUACUUUAUCCUAAAUCUCCUAUGAGUUAAAGAUACAAUGUAUUCUAAAGAAAUAAUAUUUUUAGAUACAAUUUUAUUCCCAUUUUUUCACAUUUUUUUUCCUGUUUUUUCUUUUCAUGAUAACAGGUUACUGUUAUUAAAUAAGUAACAUUUUGAAGGUUUCCUUGCCAAGAAAAUUUUGGAAGAUCGCCUUCUCAGCUGACUGAGGCUACUGAUAGCAAAGACAUGUGGGUUGGCAGAUAGGAUUGUGAGAUCUGGAAGGCAGGACAUCCAGGGAAAUUCUGCCAACCAUUCUAACAUGCAGGCUGGGUCCAUUUCUAUGGCCACUAUGUCAAGAACUACAAAAGUAAAAAGGGAGGUGAUCCUCUAAUUUCUGGUGUGUUACCUAAUAUUAAGUUAGUCUUGAAUGGGUUCACUCCAUCUGAUCUCUUCCCAUCCAUCUUACCUCUUAGGUCUACACUUCUUUCAGAUAUGAAAAUGAUACUUGAUUGAAUGUUGGGCUCUUCUGGUUCUCACUUUACUUUGUAGGCACAACUUACAAAUUAAUCUAAAACAUUACCAAAGGAAUUUUCAAAAAUUGAGAGGGAGAUGAGACUAGAUCAUCCCUUUGUUUUCUUUGAUUUCUUGAUUCUGUGUUUUGGGUACACCAGAGGAGGCUAUGGCCCCUGUGACUCAUAAGAGAGCCAGUGAUGGAGAGGGGACCCAGUUUAAGAGAAGGCCUACUCAGACAUAUGGACCUUAAGUUCCGUAGCACAGUGUUGAGAUAGUGAUGCCACUGAAAUAAGGGGGAAUUUGGGGAAGGUCAUCUGUCUUCAGGGUGAAGCAACAGCUCACAAUACAAAGAGGAUCUCUAAGAAUAGUAGUGAGAAGUAGUGAGGAGGAGGAGAGCACUGGUGGUGAGAGGUUGGAAGUGCGGGGAAAGAGGAAGUGUGGAGGGAGUGCUCCCACACACCGCUUGUAAGCAUGGAGACUGGCAUGGCUCCAGAAGCAACUUGCCCACGUGUAGGAAAACCCCACACUCCUCAGAACCCAAACUAACUACAGCUGUUUUUAAGGCACUAAUUCUUUUUUAGGACAGUAUCUUUACUUAAGGAAUAGUAUAGAAUAUAAGUCAGCAUUAAUGUGGAAAAUAUCUUAAUAAUUAUCACAGUGAAACACUAGGAAAAUUUAAAUGUCCAACAGUCGGGGAUGCUUUGCUCAUCUCUUGAACUGAAUAUUGUAGAGCCACUCAAAUAAUAUUCUGAAACAAUCUCUUUCAAAAAAUUAAUAAAACUGGAAAAGAUGUAUAUGGAAUAUUAAAUUUAUAUAAAGAAGCAAGAUGUAAAGACCACAUAUACAAUGUUGUCUUGUUAUGAGUGCUUUUAUAUACUUUAUAUAUAAAAUAUUUUAAAAUAUAUUUUUUAUAAAUAUACUUCUAGUCAAUCAUCCCCUC